RNAcentral lists this ribosomal RNA (424 nucleotides) under Acidobacteriota bacterium. Its description in RNAcentral is "Acidobacteria bacterium partial 16S ribosomal RNA". It matches the Rfam family "Bacterial small subunit ribosomal RNA", at positions 355 to 776 of the family's 1533-position model. RNAcentral also lists the same sequence under 1 other name. The record is from RNAcentral. Lineage: Bacteria; Pseudomonadati; Acidobacteriota.
UGAGGAAUAUUGGUCAAUGGACGAGAGUCUGAACCAGCCAAGUAGCGUGAAGGAUGACUGCCCUAUGGGUUGUAAACUUCUUUUAUAUGGGAAUAAAGUUUUCCACGUGUGGAAUUUUGUAUGUACCAUAUGAAUAAGGAUCGGCUAACUCCGUGCCAGCAGCCGCGGUAAUACGGAGGAUCCGAGCGUUAUCCGGAUUUAUUGGGUUUAAAGGGAGCGUAGGUGGACAGUUAAGUCAGUUGUGAAAGUUUGCGGCUCAACCGUAAAAUUGCAGUUGAUACUGGCUGUCUUGAGUACAGUAGAGGUGGGCGGAAUUCGUGGUGUAGCGGUGAAAUGCUUAGAUAUCACGAAGAACUCCGAUUGCGAAGGCAGCUCACUGGACUGCAACUGACACUGAUGCUCGAAAGUGUGGGUAUCAAACAGG